RNAcentral lists this ribosomal RNA (519 nucleotides) under uncultured eukaryote. RNAcentral's name for it is "SSU rRNA". It matches the Rfam family "Eukaryotic small subunit ribosomal RNA", at positions 1172 to 1719 of the family's 1831-position model. The record is from RNAcentral.
AGGGCACCACCAGGAGKGGAGCCUGCGGCUUAAUUUGACUCAACACGGGAAAACUCACCCGGCCCGGACACUGGAAGGAUUGACAGAUUGAGAGCUYUUUCUUGAUUCAGKGGGKGGKGGUGCAUGGCCGUUCUUAGUUGGUGGAGUGAUUUGUCUGGUUAAUUCCGAUAACGAACGAGACUCUAGCCUACUAAAUAGAUCGUCGGCUUACAAACGCCGGCGAGACUUCUUAGAGGGACAGGCGGUGAUUCAACCGCACRAAACAGAGCAAUAACAGGUCUGUGAUGCCCUUAGAUGUCCGGGGCCGCACGCGCGCUACACUGAAGUGAUCAGCGUGCUUUUUCAACCUACUCUGUCAAGAGUGGGGAACCCAAUGAACCUUCUUCGUGAUUGGGAUAGGGGAUUGUAAUUGUUCCCCUUGAACGAGGAAUUCCCAGUAAGCGCGAGUCAUAAGCUCGCGUUGAUUACGUCCCUGCCCUUUGUACACACCGCCCGUCGCUACUACCGAUUGAAUGUUUU